Molecule: unclassified non-coding RNA, 25 nt
Filed under: Mus musculus (house mouse)
Lineage: Eukaryota; Metazoa; Chordata; Mammalia; Rodentia; Muridae
Description: oocyte_clustered_small_RNA1184
Source: RNAcentral
UUCCAUGGGUGAUUGUUUCCAAUUG